Molecule: ribosomal RNA, 497 nt
Filed under: uncultured bacterium
Lineage: Bacteria
Description: partial 16S ribosomal RNA
Rfam family: Bacterial small subunit ribosomal RNA
Source: RNAcentral
GACGAACGCUGGCGGCGUGCUUAACACAUGCAAGUCGAACGGAGUACCCUUGAUUGAGGUUUCGGCCAAAUGAUAGGAAUACUUAGUGGCGGACUGGUGAGUAACGCGUGAGGAACCUGCCUUUCAGAGGGGGACAACAGUUGGAAACGACUGCUAAUACCGCAUAAUGUGCAGAGGGGACAUCCCUUUUGCACCAAAGAUUUAUCGCUGAAAGAUGGCCUCGCGUCUGAUUAGCUAGUUGGUGGGGUAACGGCCCACCAAGGCGACGAUCAGUAGCCGGACUGAGAGGUUGACCGGCCACAUUGGGACUGAGAUACGGCCCAGACUCCUACGGGAGGCAGCAGUGGGGAAUAUUGGGUAAUGGACGCAAGUCUGACCCAGCAACGCCGCGUGAAGGAAGAAGGCUUUCGGGUUGUAAACUUCUUUGACAGGGGAAGAGUAGAAGACGGUACCCUGAAAACAAGCCACGGCUAACUACGUGCCAGCCGCCGCCGUAA